RNAcentral lists this transfer RNA (74 nucleotides) under endosymbiont of Acanthamoeba sp. UWC8. It matches the Rfam family "tRNA". From Rfam's summary of the family: Transfer RNA (tRNA) molecules are approximately 80 nucleotides in length. Their secondary structure includes four short double-helical elements and three loops (D, anti-codon, and T loops). Further hydrogen bonds mediate the characteristic L-shaped molecular structure. tRNAs have two regions of fundamental functional importance: the anti-codon, which is responsible for specific mRNA codon recognition, and the 3' end, to which the tRNAs corresponding amino acid is attached (by aminoacyl-tRNA synthetases). tRNAs cope with the degeneracy of the genetic code in two manners: having more than one tRNA (with a specific anti-codon) for a particular amino acid; and 'wobble' base-pairing, i.e. permitting non-standard base-pairing at the 3rd anti-codon position. Lineage: Bacteria; Pseudomonadati; Pseudomonadota; Alphaproteobacteria; Holosporales; Holosporaceae. The record is from Rfam by way of RNAcentral.
GGGGAUGUAGCUCAGUUGGUUAGAGCGCCGGCCUGUCACGCCGGAGGUCGCGAGUUCGAGUCUCGUCAUCCCCG